This is a non-coding RNA of Erythranthe guttata (spotted monkey flower), 58 nucleotides long. The record is from Rfam. NCBI's taxonomy places the organism in Eukaryota, Viridiplantae, Streptophyta, Magnoliopsida, Lamiales, Phrymaceae.
AACUAGUCGGGAACUGAAGUCGUUCUCCUGAUGAGCCCAAAACAGGGCGAAACUAGUA